UUUCCGUAGGUGAACCUGCGGAAGGAUCAUUGUCGAAACCUGCACAGCAGAACGACCAGCGAACAUGUUUUCAUCGGCACCCUAACAAACCCCGGCGCGGAAUGCGCCAAGGAACAACAACUCUAACGCCUUUUCCGUGCCCGGUAACCCGGGGCAGGAGCCAUUCGUAACAAUGAACGACUCUCGGCAACGGAUAUCUCGGCUCUCGCAUCGAUGAAGAACGUAGCGAAAUGCGAUACUUGGUGUGAAUUGCAGAAUCCCGUGAACCAUCGAGUCUUUGAACGCAAGUUGCGCCCGAGGCCUCCGGCUGAGGGCACGUCUGCCUGGGCGUCACGCAUCGCGUCUCCCCUCACCCUCCGCGGGGGAAGGAUGAUGGCCUCCCGUGCCUCACCGGGCGCGGCUGGCCUAAAAACGGAGCCCCCGGCGACGAGCUGCCGCGGCAUUUGGUGGUUCGUCGCGCCCCUCUUAGCCCUUGAAGCUCGAGCGACCCAUGCCGUUGCGACCCCAGGUCAGGCGGGGCUA
RNAcentral lists this ribosomal RNA (522 nucleotides) under Paronychia patula. Its description in RNAcentral is "eukaryotic LSU rRNA". The stretch from base 179 to 333 matches the Rfam family "5.8S ribosomal RNA". Lineage: Eukaryota; Viridiplantae; Streptophyta; Magnoliopsida; Caryophyllales; Caryophyllaceae. The record is from RNAcentral.